CGGCCGCGUCGACCGGUCCUAAGGUAGCGAAAUUCCUUGUCGGGUAAGUUCCGACCUGCACGAAUGGUGUAACGAUCUGGGCACUGUCUCAACCGUGAGCUCGGUGAAAUUGUAGUAUCGGUGAAGAUGCCGAUUACCCGCGAUGGGACGAAAAGACCCCGUGAACCUUUACUAUAGCUUUACAUUGAAUUUGGGCACUUGAUGUGUAGGAUAGGUCGGAGGCUAUGAAGCAGGUACGCCAGUAUUUGUGGAGCCGUCGUUGAAAUACGACCCUUUGAUUGUUUGAAUUCUAACCCGCGGGAUGCGGGGACACUGUAUGGUGGGUAGUUUGACUGGGGUGGUCGCCUCCAAAAGUGUAACGGAGGCUUCUAAAGGUACCCUCAGACCGAUUGGUAACCGGUCGCAGAGUGUAAUGGCAUAAGGGUGCUUGACUGGGAGACAUACAAGUCGAUCAGGUAGGAAACUAGAGCAUAGUGAUCCGGUGGUUCCGUAUGGAAGGGCCAUCGCUCAAAGGAUAAAAGGUACUCCGGGGAAGUCGACGCGGCCG
RNAcentral lists this ribosomal RNA (547 nucleotides) under uncultured bacterium. RNAcentral's name for it is "bacterial LSU rRNA". It matches the Rfam family "Bacterial large subunit ribosomal RNA", at positions 1931 to 2493 of the family's 2925-position model. The record is from RNAcentral.